AUUGAACGCUGGCGGCAUGCCUUACACAUGCAAGUCGAACGGCAGCGCGGACUUCGGUCUGGCGGCGAGUGGCGAACGGGUGAGUAAUACAUCGGAACGUACCCUGUUGUGGGGGAUAACUAGUCGAAAGAUUAGCUAAUACCGCAUACGACCUGAGGGUGAAAGUGGGGGACCGGAAACGGCCUCAUGCAGCAGGAGCGGCCGAUGUCUGAUUAGCUAGUUGGUGGGGUAAAGGCCCACCAAGGCGACGAUCAGUAGCUGGUCUGAGAGGACGAUCAGCCACACUGGGACUGAGACACGGCCCAGACUCCUACGGGAGGCAGCAGUGGGGAAUUUUGGACAAUGGGGGCAACCCUGAUCCAGCAAUGCCGCGUGUGUGAAGAAGGCCUUCGGGUUGUAAAGCACGUUUGUCCGGAAAGAAAUCGCGCUGGUUAAUACCUGGCGUGGAUGACGGUACCGGAAGAAUAAGCACCGGCUAACUACGUGC
Molecule: ribosomal RNA, 487 nt
Filed under: uncultured bacterium
Lineage: Bacteria
Description: partial 16S ribosomal RNA
Rfam family: Bacterial small subunit ribosomal RNA
Source: RNAcentral